GGGGUCACAGUUCAGUGGUAGAACACUUGCCUAGAAUGCAUGAGGCACUGGGUUCUAUCCCUGGCACCA
RNAcentral lists this transfer RNA (69 nucleotides) under Ictidomys tridecemlineatus (thirteen-lined ground squirrel). RNAcentral describes it as "Spermophilus tridecemlineatus (thirteen-lined ground squirrel) tRNA". It matches the Rfam family "tRNA". Rfam says of the family: Transfer RNA (tRNA) molecules are approximately 80 nucleotides in length. Lineage: Eukaryota; Metazoa; Chordata; Mammalia; Rodentia; Sciuridae. The record is from Rfam by way of RNAcentral.